AAACAAUAAGCAAAAAUGCAUUUUGAUUUCGGCUCAAAAAGAGGUAAAUUUAUACCAUUGUUUU
This 64-nucleotide transfer RNA is filed under the name Lumbriculus variegatus. RNAcentral describes it as "tRNA-Arg". The record is from RNAcentral. Lineage: Eukaryota; Metazoa; Annelida; Clitellata; Lumbriculida; Lumbriculidae.